This 77-nucleotide transfer RNA is filed under the name Pseudomonas phage Kremar. RNAcentral describes it as "tRNA-Gly". It matches the Rfam family "tRNA". From Rfam's summary of the family: Transfer RNA (tRNA) molecules are approximately 80 nucleotides in length. Their secondary structure includes four short double-helical elements and three loops (D, anti-codon, and T loops). The record is from RNAcentral. Lineage: Duplodnaviria; Heunggongvirae; Uroviricota; Caudoviricetes; Vandenendeviridae.
GCGUGCAUCGUAUAGCCCGGUUAUUACCCUCGGCUUCCACCCGAGUGACUAGAGUUCGAAUCUCUAUGCCCGCACCA